GAUGAACGCUGGCGGCGUGCCUAAUACAUGCAAGUCGAGCGAACGGGCGAGAAGCUUGCUUCUCUGAUGUUAGCGGCGGACGGGUGAGUAACACGUGGAUAACCUACCUAUAAGACUGGGAUAACUUCGGGAAACCGGAGCUAAUACCGGAUAAUAUUUUGAACCGCAUGGUUCAAAAGUGAAAGACGGUCUUGCUGUCACUUAUAGAUGGAUCCGCGCUACAUUAGCUAGUUGGUAAGGUAACGGCUUACCAAGGCAACGAUGCAUAGGCGACCUGAGGGGGUGAUCGCCCGCACUGGAACUGAAACAGGGUCAAGAGUCCUGAGGGAGGCAGCAGUAGGGAAUCUGCCGCAGUGGGCGAAAGCCUUACGCAGCAACCCCGCGUGAGUGGUGGAGGUCUUCGGAUCGGAAAACUCUGUUAUUAGGGAAGAACAGAUGUCUAAGUAAAUGUGCAGAUCGUGACGGUACCGAAUCAGAAAGCCACGGCUAACUACGUG
Molecule: ribosomal RNA, 497 nt
Filed under: uncultured bacterium
Lineage: Bacteria
Description: partial 16S ribosomal RNA
Rfam family: Bacterial small subunit ribosomal RNA
Source: RNAcentral